Molecule: long non-coding RNA, 1368 nt
Filed under: Strongylocentrotus purpuratus (purple sea urchin)
Lineage: Eukaryota; Metazoa; Echinodermata; Echinoidea; Camarodonta; Strongylocentrotidae
Description: uncharacterized LOC115927548
Source: RNAcentral
AAAUGUUUGAUUUCAAUUUCAAAUAUCCCUGACAUUGAUGUCAACUGUCAACUCUGCCAUUUCGCCAGAUAUCAUAUAUCUUCCUUUAAAACCCACAGUAUGGGGAAAGGUUAGAUUAACACCAGGAAAGAAGAAUUGUAAGGGUAUUCGAGGGCAAUAAUUUAACAAAGCGAGAAAGGAUCGAUGCAGUAUUUACCAACCAAGCAUAGAUCUAGCUCAGACUAGUACAAGUAUGAGUACGAGUCCCACACAUUAACUUAUGUGUGGGAAAAAAUAGUCGGUCUGAAGACAAUGCUGCACUGGAUCUGGAUCGCUAGCUGCAUGCUGGAGGCUGCCGGCUGGAACUACUUUAAAGAUCAUCAUUUUGUCAAGGAAAGACAUGGGCAGAAGUCUGCAAAUAAGCACUUCCAGACUUGGACUUGGACUUGGAGUGAAUCAGUACUUUGGAUAUAUGCUACCUCUGUGUUUUUUUUUUUAUCCCACAGAAAGUUUGACAUGGAAUUGACGGGGGGGGGGGGUGCAAUAUAGUUUUAAUCCACACUUUUGUGAAAAAUGAGUUACAUCCAUUUCCAUCAGCUUUCUAGAUUGUUCUUCAUCUUCUGACAAUUAAAAAAAAAAGGAAAUCAACUGAUUAAUAGGGAAAUGAAUAAAUAUUCUUCUCCUGAAAACAAGCAAUUAUCUGAACCAAAAAAAAAAGUAACUCCCCCUUAAUCAAAAUGGCGUAGCUUUUUAAAGAAAAGGUUUUGAGCAAAAUAAAUUGGCAGGACUGUUCCUAUAUUUAUUGACUAACUUUUCUCCCGAAAUAAAAUUGCUCCAUUGAGUAAUGCAUGAGUGGACAAACAGGCAAAAUUUUCACUUUUCAAAAGUCACAGUGGUUAUGUUUUAUGCUGUUUUGACAGUACAUUUUAGCUUUUCUACACUAUUUUUAAAGUUUGCUCACCCAAGCAUGACACGAUUACAACCUCUUGAGUUCACACAACUUGUGAUGAAACAUUUUAGUUAAAAAAUUAUUAAUUUUGCUCACCCAACAAUAAUAUUGAAAAAAGUGUUGGGAUAGGUGUAAGGUGGUCAAGCAAUGUAUGAUAAACAACAACAACACAAAAACAUGCACCAGAAACUAAAUUCGCUAAAAUCUUGUUUCACAGAAUCCCCUAAAUGACCCUUACAAGUAUGACUUUAGAAAAGUGAGAGUGACAAUUUUCCCUUUAAUGUUUGCUCACUCAUGCAUGACUUGGUAAAUCAAUCAUAUCUUCACAGAAAAGUUAGUCAAUAAAUAUAGGAACACUCCUGCCAAGAUUAUUUUAUUAAAUACCUUGUCGUUAAAAAGUUACGCAAUUUGGAUUGAGGGGGAGUUACUUUUUGUGUUGU